AUGAACUACCACGGGGCAAUGGGAGGGCGCUGCUUCCUGAACCUCCUCCCCUGCUCCACGACCCCCUGCAAAGCCGGCGUCGGCAUCGGCACGCCCGCUUCGUCGUCAUGCCCCAACUCCGUCCACCACCACCGCACCCGAUCAGCGCGCGGCCCGAGGAGAAACGCGGCCGCCAGGGUGUCCUGCUCCGCCGCAGCCGCGCAGGCGCCGCCGUCGCAGAGCACCAUCAAGGUGGUCAUCGUCGGCGCGACCAAGGAGAUGGGGAGGGCGGCGAUCGCGGCGGUGAGCAGGGCGCGGGGGAUGGAGCUGGCGGGCGCCAUUGACACCCAGUGCAUUGGGAUGGAUGCAGGAGAGUUAAGUGGCAUGGACGAAGCCCUGGAGAUCCCGGUGCUCAACGACCUCACCAUGGUUCUCGGCUCCAUAGCACAGACAAGAGCGACUGGUGUGGUUGUUGAUUUCAGUGAACCUUCAUCCGUCUACGACAAUGUCAAGCAGGCAGCAGCAUUUGGCUUAAGCAGUGUGGUAUACGUUCCGAAAAUCGAGAUGGACACAGUAACUGAACUGUCAGCAUUCUGCGACAAGGCAAGCAUGGGUUGCUUGGUCGCACCGACACUGUCGAUCGGCUCGGUGCUCCUUCAACAAGCUGCAAUCCAGGCCUCAUUCCACUACAACAACGUCGAGAUAGUGGAAUCAAGACCUAACCCAUCGGACUUGCCAUCGCCAGACGCGAUACAGAUUGCGAAUAACAUAUCUGAUCUUGGUCAGAUAUACAACAGACAAGAUAUGGAUUCCGAUAAUCCAGCCAGAGGUCAGGUACUCGGAGAAGAUGGAGUGCGUGUGCACAGCAUGGUUCUUCCAGGACUUGCCUCAAGCACGUCGGUCGUUUUGUCGGGCCCCGGAGAGGUUUACACCUUGAAGCAUGAUGUUACAGAUGUCCAGAGCCUGAUGCCAGGACUGAUUCUGGCAAUACGGAAGGUGAUACGGUUGAAGAACUUGAUUUAUGGCCUGGAGAAGUUCUUGUAG
This 1023-nucleotide ribosomal RNA is filed under the name Triticum aestivum (bread wheat). Its description in RNAcentral is "partial small subunit ribosomal RNA". Lineage: Eukaryota; Viridiplantae; Streptophyta; Magnoliopsida; Poales; Poaceae. The record is from RNAcentral.